RNAcentral lists this ribosomal RNA (305 nucleotides) under uncultured bacterium. Its description in RNAcentral is "partial 16S ribosomal RNA". It matches the Rfam family "Bacterial small subunit ribosomal RNA", at positions 508 to 808 of the family's 1533-position model. The record is from RNAcentral.
ACAGCAGCAGCCCGGUAAUACGUAGGGUGCAAGCGUUAAUCGGAAUUACUGGGCGUAAAGCGCACGCAGGCGGAUUGUUAAGUCAGAUGUGAAAUCCCCGAGCUUAACUUGGGAACUGCAUUUGAAACUGGCAAGCUAGAGUCUUGUAGAGGGGGGUAGAAUUCCAGGUGUAGCGGUGAAAUGCGUAGAGAUCUGGAGGAAUACCGGUGGCGAAGGCGGCCCCCUGGACAAAGACUGGCGCUCAGGUGCGAAAGCGUGGGGAGCAAACAGGAUUAGAUACCCGCGUAGUCCCUGUCUCUUAUACA